Molecule: ribosomal RNA, 468 nt
Filed under: uncultured bacterium
Lineage: Bacteria
Description: partial 16S ribosomal RNA
Rfam family: Bacterial small subunit ribosomal RNA
Source: RNAcentral
GAUGAACGCUGGCGGCGUGCUUAACACAUGCAAGUCGAACGGUGAAGGCGGAGCUUGCUCUGCUGGAUCAGUGGCGAACGGGUGAGUAACACGUGAGCAAUCUGCCCCUGACUCUGGGAUAAGCGCUGGAAACGGCGUCUAAUACUGGAUACGAGCUGCGAAGGCAUCUUCAGCAGCUGGAAAGAAUUUCGGUCAGGGAUGAGCUCGCGGCCUAUCAGCUUGUUGGUGAGGUAAUGGCUCACCAAGGCGUCGACGGGUAGCCGGCCUGGGAGGGUGACCGGCCACACUGGGACUGAGACACGGCCCAGACUCCUACGGGAGGCAGCAGUGGGGAAUAUUGCACAAUGGGCGCAAGCCUGAUGCAGCAACGCCGCGUGAGGGAAGACGGCCUUCGGGUUGUAAACCUCUUUUAGCAGGGAAGAAGCGAAAGUGACGGUACCUGCAGAAAAAGCGCCGGCUAACUACGUG